ACGCUCGACACCUACGAGGCAGCAGUGGGGAAUAUUGCACAAUGGGGGAAACCCUGAUGCAGCGACGCCGCGUGAGCGAAGAAGUAUUUCGGUAUGUAAAGCUCUAUCAGCAGGGAAGAAAAUGACGGUACCUGACUAAGAAGCCCCGGCUAACUACGUGCUAGCAGGCCGGACGGUAAUCGUGAGGCGGGCGUGGACGAAGGC
RNAcentral lists this ribosomal RNA (204 nucleotides) under uncultured bacterium. Its description in RNAcentral is "partial 16S ribosomal RNA". It matches the Rfam family "Bacterial small subunit ribosomal RNA", at positions 326 to 545 of the family's 1533-position model. The record is from RNAcentral.